AAUAAUGCUUCCUUCCUCUUUUAUGCAUGCGCUUCAUGUUCUUCCUUGUUUGUGUAAACCGUAGUCUUAGUUUUCACACUUGCAGUAAUCAGCUCACCCAUCGCAUUCAUGGAUACAGAGCACCUGGAUACAAUGACCACAGUCAAAGAAAGAAUUUAAGCUAGAAAGGUGAAAGUUGAUAUGAACUGCUUCUUCAGGGGCUUUCCUAUCCAGCACAUCUGCACAUGCUCUGUUGCUGCUGUUUCUUAUGCAAGUGAUCCCUCCGAUGGGGCCUCGCCCUGCCUUAACCAGUGCCUUUCGCUGGAGCCUGGAGUACGAUUUGUGUGUGUGUCACAGUGACAAUGACGGCAGUGAGGCCGAACGUCUGGUCUCCUACCUC
Alosa sapidissima (American shad) is the source of this 379-nucleotide long non-coding RNA. RefSeq lists it as uncharacterized. The record is from RefSeq and is a predicted model, not a curated record. NCBI's taxonomy places the organism in Eukaryota, Metazoa, Chordata, Actinopteri, Clupeiformes, Clupeidae. The transcript is spliced from 3 exons.